AUCACUGAGGUCUGCUCUAUUAAAAGUAUUUCUAUGGUGCUCCUAAAAGUGACGUGGCUUUCCCUCCAGCCGGAAGUAAGAUACGUUUGCUUGUUUGCUGCUGAGCAGCUGAAGAAACGCUCGAACUGACAGUAAAAACCUAAGCCAAGGGAUAACAAUGGUGACAGACGUGCAGCUGGCUAUAUUUGCCAACAUGCUUGGCGUGUCAUUGUUCCUGCUGGUGGUGUUAUA
Long non-coding RNA from Seriola aureovittata, 231 nucleotides. RefSeq lists it as uncharacterized. The record is from RefSeq and is a predicted model, not a curated record. Lineage: Eukaryota; Metazoa; Chordata; Actinopteri; Carangiformes; Carangidae. The transcript is spliced from 2 exons.